AAUGGCCGCAGUAUUUUGACUGUGCGAAGGUAGCAUAAUCAUUAGUUUCUUGAUUAGAAGCUGGAAUGAAUGGUUUGAUGAGAAAUUUACUGUCUCAAUUUAGUUGAUUUGAAUUUAAAUUUUGAGUGAAAAUGCUUAAAUGUUUUAUAAAGACGAGAAGACCCUAUAGAGUUUAAUUUAUUUUUCUUGGGAAAAAGUUUUUAGUAGAUUUUACUUUUUUUGGAAAAUGAAUUUUGUUGGGGUGACAGGAAAAUUUAACUAACUUUUCUUAUUUUAAACACUUAUAAGUGAUUUGAUGAUCUUGAUAUUUGGAUUAAAAGAUUAAAUUACCUUAGGGAUAACAGCGUAAUUUUUUUGGAAAGUUCUUAUUGAUAAAAAAGUUUGCGACCUCGAUGUUGGAUUAAAAUUUAUUUUUGGUGGAGAAGCUAAAAUAUUA
This 436-nucleotide ribosomal RNA is filed under the name Tribolium brevicornis. RNAcentral describes it as "partial 16S ribosomal RNA". It matches the Rfam family "Bacterial large subunit ribosomal RNA", at positions 1926 to 2573 of the family's 2925-position model. Lineage: Eukaryota; Metazoa; Arthropoda; Insecta; Coleoptera; Tenebrionidae. The record is from RNAcentral.